RNAcentral lists this ribosomal RNA (497 nucleotides) under uncultured bacterium. Its description in RNAcentral is "partial 16S ribosomal RNA". It matches the Rfam family "Bacterial small subunit ribosomal RNA", at positions 28 to 507 of the family's 1533-position model. The record is from RNAcentral.
GAUGAACGCUGGCGGCGUGCCUAAUACAUACAAGUCAAGCGAACAGACGAGGAGCUUGCUCCUCUGACGUUAGCGGCGGACGGGUGAGUAACACGUGGAUAACCUACCUAUAAGACUGGGAUAACUUCGGGAAACCGGAGCUAAUACCGGAUAAUAUAUUGAACCGCAUGGUUCAAUAGUGAAAGACGGUUUUGCUGUCACUUAUAGAUGGAUCCGCGCCGCAUUAGCUAGUUGGUAAGGUAACGGCUUACCAAGGCAACGAUGCGUAGCCGACCUGAGAGGGUGAUCGGCCACACUGGAACUGAGACACGGUCCAGACUCCUACGGGAGGCAGCAGUAGGGAAUCUUCCGCAAUGGGCGAAAGCCUGACGGAGCAACGCCGCGUGAGUGAUGAAGGUCUUCGGAUCGUAAAACUCUGUUAUUAGGGAAGAACAAAUGUGUAAGUAACUAUGCACGUCUUGACGGUACCUAAUCAGAAAGCCACGGCUAACUACGUG